UACGUAGGGGGCAAGCGUUAUCCGGGUUUACUGGGUGUAAAGGGAGCGUAGACGGCGAUGCAAGUCUGAAGUGAAAGGCGGGGGCCCAACCCCCGGACUGCUUUGGAAACUGUAUGGCUGGAGUGCAGGAGAGGUAAGUGGAAUUCCUAGUGUAGCGGUGAAACGCGUAGAUAUUAGGAGGAACACCAGUGGCGAAGGCGGCUUACUGGACUGUAACUGACGUUGAGGCUCGAAAGCGUGGGGAGCAAACAGG
Molecule: ribosomal RNA, 253 nt
Filed under: uncultured bacterium
Lineage: Bacteria
Description: partial 16S ribosomal RNA
Rfam family: Bacterial small subunit ribosomal RNA
Source: RNAcentral